GAACGCUGGCGGCGUGCCUAAUACAUGCAAGUCGAGCGAACGGACGAGAAGCUUGCUUCUCUGAUGUUAGCGGCGGACGGGUGAGUAACACGUGGAUAACCUACCUAUAAGACUGGGAUAACUUCGGGAAACCGGAGCUAAUACCGGAUAAUAUUUUGAACCGCAUGGUUCAACAGUGAAAGACGGUCUUGCUGUCACUUAUAGAUGGAUCCGCGCUGCAUUAGCUAGUUGGUAAGGUAACGGCUUACCAAGGCAACGAUGCAUAGCCGACCUGAGAGGGUGAUCGGCCACACUGGAACUGAGACACGGUCCAGACUCCUACGGGAGGCAGCAGUAGGGAAUCUUCCGCAAUGGGCGAAAGCCUGACGGAGCAACGCCGCGUGAGUGAUGAAGGUCUUCGGAUCGUAAAACUCUGUUAUUAGGGAAGAACAUAUGUGUAAGUAACUGUGCACAUCUUGACGGUACCUAAUCAGAAAGCCACGGCUAACUACGUG
This 494-nucleotide ribosomal RNA is filed under the name uncultured bacterium. RNAcentral's name for it is "partial 16S ribosomal RNA". It matches the Rfam family "Bacterial small subunit ribosomal RNA", at positions 31 to 507 of the family's 1533-position model. The record is from RNAcentral.